This 253-nucleotide ribosomal RNA is filed under the name uncultured bacterium. RNAcentral describes it as "partial 16S ribosomal RNA". It matches the Rfam family "Bacterial small subunit ribosomal RNA", at positions 524 to 776 of the family's 1533-position model. The record is from RNAcentral.
UACGAAGGGGGCUAGCGUUGCUCGGAAUUACUGGGCGUAAAGGGCGCGUAGGCGGACAGCUUAGUCAGAGGUGAAAGCCCAGGGCUCAACCUUGGAAUAGCCUUUGAUACUGGAAGUCUUGAGUUCGAGAGAGGUGAGUGGAAUUCCGAGUGUAGAGGUGAAAUUCGUAGAUCUUCGGAGGAACACCAGUGGCGAAGGCGGCUCACUGGCUCGAUACUGACGCUGAGGUGCGAAAGCGUGGGGAGCAAACAGG